RNAcentral lists this ribosomal RNA (253 nucleotides) under uncultured bacterium. Its description in RNAcentral is "partial 16S ribosomal RNA". It matches the Rfam family "Bacterial small subunit ribosomal RNA", at positions 524 to 776 of the family's 1533-position model. The record is from RNAcentral.
UACGUAGGGGGCGAGCGUUGUCCGGAUUCAUUGGGCGUAAAGCGCGCGUAGGCGGUUCGGAAAGUCGGAUGUGAAAACCCGGAGCUCAACUCCGGGCCUGCAUCCGAUACUCCCGGACUAGAGGUAGGUAGGGGAGAUCGGAAUUCCUGGUGUAGCGGUGAAAUGCGUAGAUAUCGGAAGGAACGCCGGUGGCGAAAGCGACGUGCUGGACCUCUACUGACGCUGAGGCGCGAAAGCCAGGGGAGCAAACGGG